This 373-nucleotide ribosomal RNA is filed under the name uncultured Bacteroidota bacterium. Its description in RNAcentral is "bacterial SSU rRNA". It matches the Rfam family "Bacterial small subunit ribosomal RNA", at positions 420 to 792 of the family's 1533-position model. The record is from RNAcentral. Lineage: Bacteria; Pseudomonadati; Bacteroidota.
GGGUUGUAAACUGCUUUUGCGAGGGAAGAAACGGUGCUAUUUAUAGCAUUUUGACGGUACCUCGAGAAUAAGCACCGGCUAACUCCGUGCCAGCAGCCGCGGUAAUACGGAGGGUGCAAGCGUUAUCCGGAAUCACUGGGUUUAAAGGGUGCGUAGGCGGCAUUAUAAGUCAGAGGUGAAAGCCCGUCGCUUAACUAUGGAAUUGCCUUUGAACUGUAGAGCUUGAAUCAAGUUGAGGCUGGUGGAAUGUGGCAUGUACCGGUGAAAUGCAUAGAUAUGCCAUAGAACACCAAUUGCGAAGGCAGCUGGCUGGGCUUGAAUUGACGCUGAAGCACGAAAGCGUGGGGAGCGAACAGGAUUAAAUACCCUGGUA